ACUCCUACGGGAGGCAGCAGUGGGGAAUAUUGGACAAUGGGCGCAAGCCUGAUCCAGCCAUGCCGCGUGAGUGAUGAAGGCCUUCGGGUUGUAAAGCUCUUUCACCCACGACGAUGAUGACGGUAGUGGGAGAAGAAGCCCCGGCUAACUUCGUGCCAGCAGCCGCGGUAAUACGAAGGGGGCAAGCGUUGUUCGGAAUGACUGGGCGUAAAGGGCGCGUUGGCGGUUCGUUGCGUCAGAUGUGAAAGCCCCGGGCUCAACCUGGGAACUGCAUUUGAUACGGGCGGGCUUGAAUCCAAGAGAGGGUGGUGGAAUUCCCAGUGUAGAGGUGAAAUUCGUAGAUAUUGGGAAGAACACCAGUGGCGAAGGCGGCCACCUGGCUUGGUAUUGACGCUGAGGCGCGAAAGCGUGGGGAGCAAACAGGAUUAGAUACCCUGGUAGUCCACGCCGUAAACGAUGUGUGCUAGCCGUCGGGCAGCUUGCUGUUCGGUGGCGCAGCUAACGCGAUAAGCACACCGCCUGGGGAGUACGGUCGCAAGAUUAAAACUCAAAGGAAUUGACG
This 562-nucleotide ribosomal RNA is filed under the name uncultured Inquilinus sp. RNAcentral describes it as "bacterial SSU rRNA". It matches the Rfam family "Bacterial small subunit ribosomal RNA", at positions 335 to 915 of the family's 1533-position model. The record is from RNAcentral. Lineage: Bacteria; Pseudomonadati; Pseudomonadota; Alphaproteobacteria; Rhodospirillales; Rhodospirillaceae.